AGAGCGAACGCUGGCGGCAGGCCUAAUACAUGCAAGUCGAACGGACCCUUCGGGGUUAGUGGCGGACGGGUGAGUAACACGUGGGAACGUGCCCUUUGGUUCGGAACAACUCAGGGAAACUUGAGCUAAUACCGAAUGUGCCCCCAUCCUUAAACAAGAUGGGUGGGAAAGAUUUAUCGCCAUUGGAGCGGCCCGCGUCUGAUUAGCUAGUUGGUGAGGUAAAGGCUCACCAAGGCGACGAUCAGUAGCUGGUCUGAGAGGAUGAUCAGCCACACUGGGACUGAGACACGGCCCAGACUCCUACGGGAGGCAGCAGUAGGGAAUCUUGCGCAAUGGGCGAAAGCCUGACGCAGCCAUGCCGCGUGAAUGAUGAAGGUCUUAGGAUUGUAAAAUUCUUUCAGCGGGGACGAUAAUGACGGUACCCGCAGAAGAAGCCCGGCUAACUUCGCGCCAGCAGCCGC
RNAcentral lists this ribosomal RNA (461 nucleotides) under uncultured bacterium. Its description in RNAcentral is "SSU rRNA". It matches the Rfam family "Bacterial small subunit ribosomal RNA", at positions 26 to 518 of the family's 1533-position model. The record is from RNAcentral.